UACGAGGGGUGCAAGCGUUGUCCGGAAUGAUUGGGCGUAAAGGGCGCGUAGGCGGCCUUGUAAGUCAAGUGAAAGUCCUGGUUUUAAGUUGGGAAUUGCUUUGGAUACUGUGAGGCUUGAGUGCAGGAGAGGUAAGUGGAAUUCCCAGUGUAGCGGUGAAAUGCGUAGAGAUUGGGAGGAACACCAGUGGCGAAGGCGACUUACUGGACUGUAACUGACGCUGAGGCGCGAAAGUGUGGGGAGCAAACAG
RNAcentral lists this ribosomal RNA (250 nucleotides) under uncultured prokaryote. RNAcentral's name for it is "partial 16S ribosomal RNA". It matches the Rfam family "Bacterial small subunit ribosomal RNA", at positions 524 to 775 of the family's 1533-position model. The record is from RNAcentral.